Molecule: long non-coding RNA, 552 nt
Organism: Syngnathoides biaculeatus (alligator pipefish)
Lineage: Eukaryota; Metazoa; Chordata; Actinopteri; Syngnathiformes; Syngnathidae
Exons: 3
Source: RefSeq, a predicted model, not a curated record
AAGCAGAGGACACCUUGUUCUUUUGGGCCGAACGCACUCGUGGAAAUCCAAAAGAACGGCUUCGGCCGGAUCUGCUGGGGCACUCUAUCGCUCGGACCCCGAAUGUAAACCUUCCCAUCGUGAGAAAGCUUUUCAAGCUUUUCCUCCCGCGAGGCUACUUAUGAGUUAUUUUGUCAAUGAUAACAAAAGUUACGGAGGCCCACGUUGCGUUUUGGUGCUGCGCUGGCGGCGGCGGCGGCGGCGGACCGGGAAGGUCACACAAAGGAAAACUCGUCCGAUUGGAGUCACAGCUGCUCGGUAUCGGACGCCGCGAUAUCGUGUACCCGAUGAUGCGUCGGCGCAGAUGUACGUACCGGUGAAGAAGAGCGCGACGGCGACGCUGAGGACGAGGAGGAGGAAAGUCGGCGGCUCGUGUUUUAUUUCCCCUCCAAACAACCAAAGUGACAACAGACAGCCCAGUGGAGGUGAAAGGUGGAGAAAUCCAAACCAUGGCACGGCCACCACGUACGAACGAGUGUAAAUGAUUCCCAGGAAACCCAACCAGGAGCCAAA